GAUGAACGCUGGCGGCGUGCCUAAUACAUGCAAGUCGAGCGAACAGACGAGGAGCUUGCUCCUCUGACGUUAGCCGCGGACGGGUGAGUAACACGUGGAUCAUCUCCCUAUCAGACUGGGAAAACUACGGGAAACCGGCGCUUAUCCGGGAUAAUCUAUUGCUCCGCGUGGUUCGAUAGUGAAAGACGGCUUUGCUGUCUCUUAUCGAUGGUUCCGCGCCGCAUUGGCUAGUUGGUAAGGUAAAGGCCUACCAAGGCAACGAUGCGUAGCCGAGCGGAUAGGGUGAUCGGCCACACUGGAACGGAGACACGGUCCAGACUCCUACGGGAGGCAGCAGUAGGGAAUCUUCCGCAAUGGGCGAGAGCCUGACGGAGCAGCGCCGCGUGAGUGAUGAAGGUCUUCGGAUCGUAAAACUCUGUUAUUAGGUAAGAACAAAUGUGUAAGUAACUAUGCACGUCUUGACGGUACCUAGUCAGAAAGCCACGGCUAACUACGUG
This 497-nucleotide ribosomal RNA is filed under the name uncultured bacterium. RNAcentral's name for it is "partial 16S ribosomal RNA". It matches the Rfam family "Bacterial small subunit ribosomal RNA", at positions 28 to 507 of the family's 1533-position model. The record is from RNAcentral.